This 408-nucleotide ribosomal RNA is filed under the name Triticum aestivum (bread wheat). RNAcentral's name for it is "partial small subunit ribosomal RNA". Lineage: Eukaryota; Viridiplantae; Streptophyta; Magnoliopsida; Poales; Poaceae. The record is from RNAcentral.
AUGGUCGACCUCGAGAACCCGGACCUGGAGGAAAACCUCGUCGCGGCGGAGCCCUGGGUAGACAGGCUAAGACUAUACUUUGACAAUGACGACCUAUACCCCGGCGGCGGCGGCGGCGGCGUUGCCGCUGAUCUCGAAGCCUUGGAGGCCGAGCCCCAACAGCACAGCAGGUGUAUCUUCAUGUGCCUUCUGGCGUGUGCCAGUGUGAUGUUUAUGGGUUUCUUCAUGGCCCUGAUCCAGGUCUAUGAAUCCCACUCAACGACGGGAUGGAUAACAAUCGCCGUGCUCGUCGGGGCAGCUAUAUGCGAAGUUGUUGUACUCUGUCUUCUCUUAAUUACAAUUCUUGUCUUUGCCGAGUUCUUCGUUGGGAAUCCAGAGGGACGUAGGCUGGUAGAUCGGUUGAUCUAA